GGCCAGUGCCGUCUUCCCGUCUUUAGUGACGCAGGAUCCAAGGUCUAACCAGGGAAACUGGUCUCCGUAUAGCAGCAUGUACAUUACGCUGCUAUUGCUUACCACCGCGUUGUCAAGCGGUGGAUGGAAGCAUCGAAAACACAGCCAGAGCUCCAGCGCCGCAAAUCGCCGCGCAGUGCACCCCGAUAGCCUGGGCUGGGCGACUCGCUGCUAGCGCUGGCCAUGAAUUGGCCGGCAGCGCAUUCAGUGACCUGUUUUCAUGUCGACUUGGGAGGUAAAAAAACCUCAUAAAGACCGCGUUUUUCUGUGUUUUAUUGAGUAACAUCGCUACUAUCCCAGUGAGCUACCAAUGUUAUAACCUCCAACACUGUCAGGCACAUGAACCAGAGUUCUGAACUUCUGAGUGGACCCAACGAAAUGCCGGUUUCCCUUCGAGACAAACAUGGGCCAGGUGGUUUUCCUCGCUGUGGUGGAUAACGCAACAAUGUCAACAUUACCUAGUGUCCAGAAUUCCAGAUGGCCUUUGCUGUCUCCUUAUCUGCUCAAUCUUGCUGUAAUUGAUGCUCAAAUUUCCAGCCUGUCGUAUCACAUCAAGUGUGUCAGCACAGUCAUGUUUGAGGAAUCUUCCUUUGAACAAAAAAUGGCAUUUCCACUUACAUGUAAGUUCAACUGUGAAGAGAGAUGAAGCAUUUUUAUGCUGUUGGAUCCGAAAUUCUAUUUCCUUGUUGCAUCGAUCAUAGAAAAGCAGUGCAUAUCAUCCUCUGGAAUGACUAAACAGUGCAUCAAACUUGUUCAGAAAAAAGACACGAAAAACUACUUAUGGCCUGAGUAACACCAGCUAUGUUGAAACAUUUAGGUUAUGUCACCUUCAAUCCUGAAACAAACAGGCAAGAUGAUAUGCCACCAGUUCGAAAGAUCAUUGCCCAGCUUGAAGCUUCUUCAAAAGCCCUGGAUUAAUAUCACUGUGGUAUCAAUAUCUUGAUACAGACCCUCUCAUUAAACUUUCUCAGACUAUGUUAAAUCUUCAUACACAAACUACAAAAAGGUAAACAGUAUAUGAUAGGACCAGGUGGGGGUAACCUCCCCCCUCUUCUCUCUCUCUCCCUCUCUCUACUGUUUCACUAUCAUUAUUUGCCUUUCUCUCCCCCUCUCAUACCUCAACUGAUACUUGUUCUAUCUGGUUAAGAUUUACAACCACAUGUUUUUAUCUAUUUGAAUUGGUUCUUCAAUUUAGACUUGUGAAUUACUUGUACAGUCAGAUAAGGUAUUGUUUAACUGUAUACUCUCUCCAUUCAAUCUAUAUAUAUAUAUAUCUCCUUCUCUCUAUUUCUUCAGAUCUCUGUUCUCAUUUUAACCUUUGAUAAAAUGAAUAUCUGUAAUUAAGCCUUAUUAAUGAUUUUUUGACAGAUUAAACCAUUUCCCCAUGAAAUUGCUAUUUCUAAUUAAAUCGUGUGUUAUUGUUCUUUCCAUCUUUCUCUCAUUGGUCUUUCAUCCUUGGUAUCUCCAUCUCUCUCCACACCACCCCUGUCUCUCACACACAUACAUCCUCUUGUCAUUAUUGUAUCCUCUUUCUGUUUCAUCUGUUUUAUUUCAAUUAAAUAAAAACUUGGUUCAAAGGCCUUACAUUGUUUGAUUACGAAAAUUAAACCAUAUUUAAUGGGCAUUAUGUUGAUGAUAGUUUGUAUUUAUGCGUAUCAGUUUUACCAGCUUUCUUGUGCAGCAAGCCUUGUAGUUUGGUUAUUUGCAUCGUCUUCUAUAGAAGGUGUAAAAUUAUUGUUCAUAUUCAAUUGUACUUGGAAUGAUUUUUAUUCUUGUUUACAUGUACUGUAGAUGCACAGUCAAACAAGUCCAUAGUGCAUUACAGUGGCAAAUUAAUUUAUGCAACCAUGUAACGCUAUGCAUGAAUUAACAGCUGUGGAAUUCCAAAUUAUGAUCUUAUCUCAUGAUUUGAUUUUCAAGAAAAUUGAUCAGUCGUGCCAUUAUAUUGGUCCAGUCAUUGAAAGGACACUUAUGUCUUAUCUCCUUCUGCUUCUUGCUUUUUUUCUUCUAGAUUUUUCCCCAUUUGAUGGGAGGAGAACACAGACCUCCUCCAUGAAGAAAGUGCAUGCCAUUUAAAUUGUGCAAUUGAUGUAGAAAAUAUAAUUAUAUUCAGGUUGUGCAAUGACGUACAUGUAAUUGUGCUCCUUGUCUUGGACUUGUAAAAGU
RNAcentral lists this long non-coding RNA (2205 nucleotides) under Strongylocentrotus purpuratus (purple sea urchin). RNAcentral's name for it is "uncharacterized LOC115922517". Lineage: Eukaryota; Metazoa; Echinodermata; Echinoidea; Camarodonta; Strongylocentrotidae. The record is from RNAcentral.